RNAcentral lists this ribosomal RNA (253 nucleotides) under uncultured bacterium. RNAcentral describes it as "partial 16S ribosomal RNA". It matches the Rfam family "Bacterial small subunit ribosomal RNA", at positions 524 to 776 of the family's 1533-position model. The record is from RNAcentral.
UACGAAGGGGGCUAGCGUUGCUCGGAAUGACUGGGCGUAAAGGGCGCGUAGGCGGUUAUCACAGUCAGGCGUGAAAGUCCUGGGCUCAACCUGGGGACGGCGCUUGAUACGUGGUGACUAGAGUGGGGAAGAGGGUCGUGGAAUUCCCAGUGUAGAGGUGAAAUUCGUAGAUAUUGGGAAGAACACCGGUGGCGAAGGCGGCGACCUGGUCCUUGACUGACGCUGAGGCGCGAAAGCGUGGGGAGCAAACAGG